GUCGAGAAUCUUUCACAAUGGGGGCAACCCUGAUGGAGCGACGCCGCGUGGAGGAUAAGGUCUUCGGAUUGUAAACUCCUGUCAUGCGUGAACAAGGUUGCUUGGUUAAUACCUGGGCAAAUUGAUGGUAACGCAAGAGGAAGAGACGGCUAACUCUGUGCCAGCAGCCGCGGUAAUACAGAGGUCUCAAGCGUUGUUCGGAAUCACUGGGCGUAAAGGGUGCGUAGGUGGCGUGGUAAGUCUGAUGUGAAAGCCCGGGGCUCAACCUCGGAACUGCAUCCGAUACUGCCAUGCUAGAGUACUGGAGAGGUGACUAGAAUUCUCGGUGUAGCAGUGAAAUGCGUAGAUAUCGAGAGGAAUACCAAAGGCGUAGGCAGGUCACUGGACAGUUACUGACACUGAGGCACGAAGGCCAGGGGAGCGAACGGGAUUAGAUACCCUUGUAGUCC
Molecule: ribosomal RNA, 449 nt
Filed under: uncultured bacterium
Lineage: Bacteria
Description: partial 16S ribosomal RNA
Rfam family: Bacterial small subunit ribosomal RNA
Source: RNAcentral